This 2417-nucleotide long non-coding RNA is filed under the name Marmota monax (woodchuck). The record is from RNAcentral. Lineage: Eukaryota; Metazoa; Chordata; Mammalia; Rodentia; Sciuridae.
GUGUCGGGGACGAGGUUCCGGGGUCACCCACGCUGCGUGAAUCGGAACCUCCAGAGCUGGGCCCUGGAACCGGCCACCUGAACAAGUCCCCCAGGUGCCGGUGGCGACUGGGGACCUUGGUGGGCCACCAAGUGCGCAAGCUAGGCCAGUCCCCCACGAGGGGUGGCCCGGACUGCUCCUCUCUGAACAUGAGCCCAGUGGACUUCAGAGGAGGUGGGAAAGGAUCACGUCCAGCUGAGACAGUCACCUCUCAGUUCAGGGACUUCCAAAGGUCACGCCCAUCCUGUCCUUCAUUUCCUGUGUAGGUCACCUUCGGCCCCUGGCCACCAGGCCGCCUUCCCUUUGGAGAAUCCACCUCCCUCCCCGGGAGCCAUCCCCUAGGGCCAAGUCUAGCAGUGACUGGAGCCAGGCCCCCAGUGACUAGAAGGACCUCAGGGGCCGGCUCCGCUGGCAGUUAGACCCUCAGCAGCUGCAUCCUGUCCACGCUCCUCCUGGGCCGCCUUUGGUGCCCCUGUCCAUCCUGACCCUGCUCUAGCAGAGAUUCUGUGGGUCACUCUCUGUGCUUCCUGUGAAUCCCUUUCCUGUUUAACUUCUGGCCGUUUGACAACUCUGAAGGUUCUUUCUCUUAAUCUAAGUCUGCAUCUUGCCGCCACCUUCUGGAAACUUUCAUCCUGUUUUUAUUUCCCGUGAGGAGAGGGGGGCGGCAAAGUGGGUCCUACCUGAGUGCUGAGUAUUUGGGGGAGGGGCACACCCUAACCGAUCCCGAGGAAACUUCCCAGGUUCAUCCAGGACAACCGAAGCUAAUGGCUUCUACACUCUUGGUGAGAUUUGAGGUUUUUCCCACUUGUGAUGGAUGUUCAAACAAAUUGGUUUCAUUGGUUUUAAUCUGUCAUUCAAUUCCAAUUUGGGGAUCUGAUGAAAGGAUGCAUGAAGAAGGGAACGAUGUGCCUGCUGAUAAGAUCCACUAGCAAGGACUUUCAUUUUAGGUAGAACCGAGGCUCUGGGAUCAGUCAUGGAAGAGCUUGGGACUUCAAGUCUGACCUGUAAGGCAAUUCUAGUGAAGACUUUGGUGAAUCAAGAACCCAACGCAGCGGAGACCAACAUGGAAGCCUGGGAAGGAAGGUCACAUUAUGUUCUGAUAGUAGCUAAAAGACUUGGCACAUUUGCACAAUAUCUUAUUUAGCAGUUUUGUGCAAAUCUCUUCUUCUAACAUUGAAAAGGACAAGAGCAUGUUUAAGUUCAACUGCAGAAAUUACAAGAGGCACCACUGCCACCUGGUGGCCACUUCUCCAGCUUGUUAGUUCAGGACUGGAUAAAAUUUGGUGACGUUGAGUUCAGGUUAAAUGCGCCAACCCCCUCCACAUUUGGGUCUUGUUGUUGCCGCUGUGGACUGGUGACGAGUCCUUGCUUCCCUGAAAGCUGAAGUAUACCCCCAGAGAAGCACGUCCAGGCGAGUGGAGAGUGGAAGCUUUAUUAAAGGACAGCAGAGGGCUGGGAUGGUGGCUCAGCCGCAGAGCGCUCACCUAGCACCGAUGGGACCCAGGUUCAAUCCUCAGCACCACAUAAAAAUAAAGGCAUUAUGUUGUGUCCAUCUACACCUAAAAAUAAAUACUUAAAAAAAAAUGGAUAGCAGAAAAGACUUCCUCCCAGAGAAGAAGGGAACCCAAAAGGAUAAAGGAGAGGUCUUGCCUUUUUUGUAUCUGAGGUCUUCUUUUAGUCCUCCCACAUCCCGGCCCUUGGUUUCCCUGUGUCCUGCAGUGAUAGAAUGCAGGUGGGAAGGCCGGAAGGUGGGACAGAGGGGGACUGGAGGAGUAGUCUGGGCAGGAAGGGCCUGGGGUGGUUUGAUUAGCACCUCCCUGUUUGCUGGGAGCUACUUCAUUAACAGUUCCUUAGGAUGGGCCUGGGGCCUUGGGGACAUUAACAUUUCAAUUUCCCCUGGUGCUGUUCUGGUUUCCUGGGCUCCAUUCGUGAUAAUGGUCUCCAUUUUCCUUAUCUUACUUGAUAUUAGACCUGAUUUACCUAACUACACUAACUACUUAUCUUUAAAUCUGGCUUCAUUGUUCCCUGAUCUUGACUUGAGAUGUGUACAUUUCUUUUUCAAUUAUGUGUAUUUCUGUUUUCAAUUAAAUUUUCAAUUUAGUUUGGCCAGAAAAAUGUGCCUGUCUCCCUGCUUAUUGUAGGCUAGGCUUGAAUUGAUCAUUUGCUACUGUUACAGAACGUCUGUGCUGGACCUGAGUCCCCUUGCCAUCACUCACCCCAGCCCCACAGAUCACUCAUAGGAACUGCUCCUUCGCGCUCAAGCCCCAUGCUUUCUUGUAUGGGAAUUAAAACUCUGCACCACAAACCAUGUGUCAUUUGCUUGGAUCCUUCUCAGCUUGGCCAUUUGCAUUGUUACGGUUUACAUAUGUGGUGUCCCC